RNAcentral lists this ribosomal RNA (250 nucleotides) under uncultured bacterium. RNAcentral's name for it is "partial 16S ribosomal RNA". It matches the Rfam family "Bacterial small subunit ribosomal RNA", at positions 779 to 1028 of the family's 1533-position model. The record is from RNAcentral.
UAGAUACCCUGGUAGUCCACGCCGUAAACGAUGUCUAUUUGGAGGUUGUGCCCUUGAGGCGUGGCUUCCGGAGCUAACGCGUUAAAUAGACCGCCUGGGGAGUACGGCCGCAAGGUUAAAACUCAAAUGAAUUGACGGGGGCCCGCACAAGCGGUGGAGCAUGUGGUUUAAUUCGAUGCAACGCGAAGAACCUUACCUGGUCUUGACAUCCACAGAAUUUCUCAGAGAUGAGGAAGUGCCUUCGGGAACU